GGAAAAUACUUUUGCAUGCUAAAACUAUUCAGAGAAAUAUUCAUGAAGAAUUUUUAGUUUUUCCUUGUACCAACGCAAUGCACUAGAUGUCUGUAGUAAAUAAAAAUUACUCAAUAUAAAUUGUCACUAAAAUCAAAGUUUUGACAUCGCUGUAAAUGAAAGAGAGGAAUGACAUUUAUAAUAUAAAGUAGGAAAGUGUUUUCUGAACCUGGAGCAUGGAGGGACCAUGCUCAAAACUUUAGUCAUCUGAAUUCACUUAAAAAAACUUCUCAAACAAGAAUAACUGAAAUGCCACGCCUGGUUAGUGUGUUCAUUAUAUUUUUAUAUCUAAAAUCACCAUGCAUACUAAUGCUACAUUCAGCACACUAUUAAUAAUCAAAAACUAUUCUACCAUCCACUGAGACUGAAGUUG
RNAcentral lists this long non-coding RNA (412 nucleotides) under Bos taurus (domestic cattle). RNAcentral's name for it is "long non-coding RNA NONBTAT017201". Lineage: Eukaryota; Metazoa; Chordata; Mammalia; Artiodactyla; Bovidae. The record is from RNAcentral.